Molecule: ribosomal RNA, 254 nt
Filed under: Listeria monocytogenes
Lineage: Bacteria; Bacillati; Bacillota; Bacilli; Caryophanales; Listeriaceae
Description: partial 23S ribosomal RNA
Rfam family: Bacterial large subunit ribosomal RNA
Source: RNAcentral
GGUGAGCGAGAGAACUCUCGUUAAGGAACUCGGCAAAAUGACCCCGUAACUUCGGGAGAAGGGGUGCUCUAUUAGGGUGCAAGCCCGAGAGAGCCGCAGUGAAUAGGCCCAGGCGACUGUUUAGCAACAACACAGGUCUCUGCAAAACCGUAAGGUGACGUAUAGGGGCUGACGCCUGCCCGGUGCUGGAAGGUUAAGAGGAGUGCUUAGCUUCGGCGAAGGUACGAAUUGAAGCCCCAGUAAACGGCGGCCGU